GAUGAACGCUGGCGGCGUGCCUAAUACAUGCAAGUCGAGCGAACAGACGAGGAGCUUGCUCCUCUGACGUUAGCGGCGGACGGGUGAGUAACACGUGGAUAACCUACCUAUAAGACUGGGAUAACUUCGGGAAACCGGAGCUAAUACCGUAUAACAUGUUGAACCGCAUGGUUCAACAGUGAAAGACGGUCUUGCUGUCACUUAUAGAUGGAUCCGCGCCGCAUUAGCUAGUUGGUAAGGUAACGGCUUACCAAGGCAACGAUGCGUAGCCGACCUGAGAGAGUGAUCGGCCACACUGGAACUGAGACACGGUCCAGACUCCUACGGGACGCAGCAGUAGGGAAUGUUCCGCAAUGGGCGAAAGCCUGACGGAGCAACGCCGCGUGAGUGAAGAAGGUCUUCGGAUCGUAAAACUCUGUUACUAGGGAAGAACAAAUGUGUAAGUAACUAUGCACGUCUUGACGGUACCUAAUCAGAAAGCCACGGCUAACUACGUG
This 497-nucleotide ribosomal RNA is filed under the name uncultured bacterium. RNAcentral describes it as "partial 16S ribosomal RNA". It matches the Rfam family "Bacterial small subunit ribosomal RNA", at positions 28 to 507 of the family's 1533-position model. The record is from RNAcentral.